Molecule: ribosomal RNA, 767 nt
Filed under: bacterium EJ10-37
Lineage: Bacteria
Description: bacterial SSU rRNA
Rfam family: Bacterial small subunit ribosomal RNA
Source: RNAcentral
UUACACAUGCAAGUCGAACGNNGAUGCCCACUUGUGGGUGGAUUAGUGGCGAACGGGUGAGUAACACGUGAGUAACCUGCCCUUAACUCUGGGAUAAGCCUGGGAAACUGGGUCUAAUACCGGAUAUGACUCCUCAUCGCAUGGUGGGGGGUGGAAAGCUUUUUGUGGUUUUGGAUGGACUCGCGGCCUAUCAGCUUGUUGGUGAGGUAAUGGCUCACCAAGGCGACGACGGGUAGCCGGCCUGAGAGGGUGACCGGCCACACUGGGACUGAGACACGGCCCAGACUCCUACGGGAGGCAGCAGUGGGGAAUAUUGCACAAUGGGCGAAAGCCUGAUGCAGCGACGCCGCGUGAGGGAUGACGGCCUUCGGGUUGUAAACCUCUUUCAGUAGGGAAGAAGCGAAAGUGACGGUACCUGCAGAAGAAGCGCCGGCUAACUACGUGCCAGCAGCCGCGGUAAUACGUAGGGCGCAAGCGUUAUCCGGAAUUAUUGGGCGUAAAGAGCUCGUAGGCGGUUUGUCGCGUCUGCCGUGAAAGUCCGGGGCUCAACUCCGGAUCUGCGGUGGGUACGGGCAGACUAGAGUGAUGUAGGGGAGACUGGAAUUCCUGGUGUAGCGGUGAAAUGCGCAGAUAUCAGGAGGAACNNNNAUGGCGAAGGCAGGUCUCUGGGCAUUAACUGACGCUGAGGAGCGAAAGCAUGGGGAGCGAACAGGAUUAGAUACCNCUGGGUAGUCCAUGCCGUAAACGUUGGGCACUANGUGUGGGGG